RNAcentral lists this ribosomal RNA (512 nucleotides) under uncultured bacterium. RNAcentral's name for it is "bacterial SSU rRNA". It matches the Rfam family "Bacterial small subunit ribosomal RNA", at positions 791 to 1304 of the family's 1533-position model. The record is from RNAcentral.
UAGUCCACGCCGUAAACGAUGAGAACUAGAUGUUGGGAGGGUUGCCUCUCGGUGUCGCAGCUAACGCGUUAAGUUCUCCGCCUGGGGAGUACGCCGGCAACGGUAAAACUCAAAGGAAUUGACGGGGACCCGCACAAGCGGUGGAGCAUGUUGCUUAAUUCGAGGCAACGCGAAGAACCUUACCUGGGUUUGACAUGUACCGAAAAGCCAUAGAGAUAUGGUGUCCUUCGGGCGGUACGACAGGUGGUGCAUGGCUGUCGUCAGCUCGUGUCGUGAGAUGUUGGGUUAAGUCCGCAACGAGCGCAACCCUCGUCCUGUGUUGCCAGCAAGUUAUGUUGGGGACGUCGCAGGAGACUGCCGGGGUCGAACUCGGAGGAAGGUGGGGAGUGACGUCAAGUCAUCAUGCCCCUUAUGUCCAGGGCUGCAAACAUGCUACAAUGGCAGGUACAACGGGCAGCGACACCGCGAGGUGAAGCGAAUCCCUUAAAGCCUGUCUCAGUUCGGAUCGAAGU